AAUUACGGCAGGGCCGUUUUCCCCCUGAACCAGUGGGGUCAAGAUUCUUUUCUAUUUUCCUGCGAACUGAGGUUCCUCUGGUUACAAGAUCCCAGGAGCAGAAGCUGGGAAAACACCCGUGGACAUAAGCGCACCGUGACACCUGUAGCAGUGAAGAGAGCACGAAACUGGGCAUUCUGCAUCGCUGCAAGCCGUAACGUUUUACAGCUUUCGUUGCAAGCCAGAUUAUCUUCUUCAAGCCGUUGGCUGAGCUGGGUGCUGAACAGGACGCGAGCGGACAAAGACACCUUGAUCCUGCCCCACAGCAGGACAUCCCCGUGGCUGGGGACACGUGCGGCCGCGUCCGAUGCCUCCCCGGGCCCAGCGCUGCGGCGUGCUGCCACGGGGGGUGCAGCCCCGGCGGGACUCGCUGCUCGUGGGUGCUGGCAGCUUCCCGCAUUUUUCUCACCUUCCCGGCCGUCGUGCGAGCGGACCCAGCUUGGAGGACGGCCGCGGGCUGCCCCGUGCCCCGCGAGCUGCGGCGCCUGCUUUUCCCCAUCCGCAGGAAGGUUUGCACAGACGUGCGCUGGCUUCCAAGGGCCGAUGUCAGGUUUAGAAAUAAAACCUCUUCCAAGCUUCCUUCCCAGUGGGAUCAUUUUUGCGGCUAAUACUCCUUCAUGCGCUAUCUAUUAUGCUAUUAUUAAAACCCAGCUUGCCGACAACUUGGGAAGAAAUACGCUGCCCGCACGGCAACGCUGCCUUUGCUGCGAGCUGGCGCAGGAGCCGAGCGGCUCUCGCCACGGGCAGCCGCCACGAUCUCCCCUUCCACCAGACGAACUUUCCCUGCAGGAUGAAAACUGGCCGUUUGUGUUUCAUCGGAGCAUAAACCUCCACUGGAAAACUUUUCAGCCUUUUCCAAGUUUGACAGCCGUCAGCCCACAUCGCCACCGGCGUCAGUGGCAUCUGCUUCCACAUGUGCAACGUCCCAGCGCUGCUUCUCGUAGGGAAAUAUGGGUCUCUCAUACAAUGUGUGUCAUCUCCCUGCUGCCCGCACUUGUUUUUUCCUCCGUGUCCGAAAGCUUUCACCGGAGGUGUUUCCAAGCAAACAAAAUGCAUGCACUGUUUCAAACAGGAAAUUUUGCUUCACUUCACUGUUGUGCAUGAAACCAUUUUGGAUAUUUGUUUUCCCCCCCCGCUCUCUGUUGUCUCCCUCUCUCUUAAUGCCACUUAGAGUGCAAGAAUGAAAGACAUUAAGGUUUUGAAUUUUUUCUUUUUUUUCUUUUGAACUCCUAUUCCUCUCCUCCCACCACUGUCUUUCCUUUCUCUAACUCCCGUAACUCUGCCGUGCCUUUCCAGCCCUGCAAAAGUUAUAGGGGAUGACAAGAAAAAAAAAAAAAGAAACUCUGUAAUUGCCUCUCUGCCACCCGUGCCGGCCACCGGCAGCCCGAUGCCAGCUGCCUCCAGAGCCUGGAAAGGGGCUGCAGAGACAGAGGAAGUGUUGAAUAUCGCUGGCUGCCCUCAGUUUUUGCAGUUCAUCCAUUACAGGUGUCAAGGCAGGGAUGGGCUUAGGAGGGGGUUUAAACGGGGCUGCGCAGCGUGGGUGACGUUCGUUCAAGGACGUGGGAGGCGAUGCGGGCGCCGGGCGGGAUGCGGGAGCCGUGCCCUGAUCCACAGCACAGGGCUGCUUCUGUACCCGGGGAUGUGUGGCUGGAGAUGCACCUCCUUCCAGGCUGCCUCGUGACCGGGGUGGCAAUUUUUUUUUUUUUUUUAACUAGUCAGAUGAAGUCCGGCAGGAAUAUGAUACUCUGUGCAAAAGUUUAGCUAAAAAAAAAAAAAAAAAAAAAAAAAAAAAGAAAGACACACACACGCACACACGCACACACACACACACAAACACACUGGAAAACCCUUGAAAAAGCCAUUUUUUGGACUGUUCCGUCAUCCUUUGCAAAGUUAGUCUUCGCUGUAGCCUGCUUUUAAUGAAGUUCCUUUUCUUUAGUCACUAUCCCAGGACUUUGCUGGAAGGCUGUCCCACUGGAAAGCGUACAGCCUGCAGCCGGUGUCGCUGGGGAAGCACGUGGGCAAGGUGCAAGGAGGGCUGAGGUCAGAGCACAGCUGUCCUCUCUCAGUGCCGCUCUCACGCCGCAGGCCACGGCCGGGCUCCCCGGGCUGCUGCUGCGAGCUGCCCGCAACGCCGUGCCCGUGCUCUGCUCGCCAGCGGCCGCAGGACACCCGACGCUCGGAUGCGCGAGAGGUUUAGCAAGAUCUUGCUCUGAGACGUACCUGUACAGCUGCUCACGCAACUGAUCAACAAACUUGUGGAAAAAGAAUAAAGAUGAUGAGAUUUCAGAAGACUAAUAAAAA
This is a long non-coding RNA of Dromaius novaehollandiae (emu), 2343 nucleotides long. NCBI's taxonomy places the organism in Eukaryota, Metazoa, Chordata, Aves, Casuariiformes, Dromaiidae. The record is from Ensembl.